AUGACUGACGCCAAGACCGCCGAUGCGCAAUCGGGCUAUGAAAAGGGCUAUACCAUUGCGCUAUCUGCGCAGGCAGGCGCGGACAUGAUCAACCUCAGUGUCG
The sequence is a regulatory RNA element, 103 nucleotides long. It matches the Rfam family "Pyrrolysine insertion sequence mttB". The record is from Rfam.